Molecule: ribosomal RNA, 492 nt
Filed under: uncultured bacterium
Lineage: Bacteria
Description: partial 16S ribosomal RNA
Rfam family: Bacterial small subunit ribosomal RNA
Source: RNAcentral
AGUGAACGCUGGCGGUAGGCCUAACACAUGCAAGUCGAACGGCAGCACAGUAAGAGCUUGCUCUUACGGGUGGCGAGUGGCGGACGGGUGAGGAAUACAUCGGAAUCUACUUUUUCGUGGGGGACAACGUAGGGAAACUUACGCUAAUACCGCAUACGACCUACGGGUGAAAGCAGGGGAUCUUCGGACCUUGCGCGAUUGAAUGAGCCGAUGUCGGAUUAGCUAGUUGGCGGGGUAAAGGCCCACCAAGGCGACGAUCCGUAGCUGGUCUGAGAGGAUGAUCAGCCACACUGGAACUGAGACACGGUCCAGACUCCUACGGGAGGCAGCAGUGGGGAAUAUUGGACAAUGGGCGCAAGCCUGGUCCAGCCAUACCGCGUGGGUGAAGAAGGCCUUCGGGUUGUAAAGCCCUUUUGUUGGGAAAGAAAAGCAGCAGGUUAAUACCCCGCUGUUCUGACGGUACCCAAAGAAUAAGCACCGGCUAACUUCGUG